Long non-coding RNA from Anthonomus grandis grandis, 1113 nucleotides. RefSeq lists it as uncharacterized. The transcript is spliced from 3 exons. Lineage: Eukaryota; Metazoa; Arthropoda; Insecta; Coleoptera; Curculionidae. The record is from RefSeq and is a predicted model, not a curated record.
CACUGGGUUUUUUAAAAUAACUAGUAUUUAUUAUUGGUUAGCAGGCAGUUUUAAAUGAAUUUAAUUAAAAUCAAUGAUAAGAAUUUAUACUUCUACCAGGAUUUAUAUUAAUCAUUGAUUUUAUAUUUUAACUCAGGAUAAGAAUAUAGGAAAUAUAGUUACACCCUGUACUUCUCGGUCCUGUAACUAUCUAAAAACCACCAAUCUUGGCUGAUUAUACAGUGAUGUGACAGUGACGCGCAAGUUGGAACAAAUUCAUAUAAAAUUCAAGGGUGUGUUCGAAAAAAAACGCUCGGAGACGUCGAUUUUUAUUUUUUUGGAUUUUUUUGAUGAUAAAUUCAUGUAUUCAACCAAAAAUAAGCAAUGACCUCCAACAUUUUUCAAUUCUGCAUAUAUAUAUAUUGAAAUCUACACUGGAGUAUGGAAAGCCACACACAAUUUACCAAGAAGUUAAACGUAUGGGCAGGAACUGUGGGUGCCUAUUUUAUUGAGGGUGCACUUACCUCUGAAAAAUAUUUAGAGUUGCUUCAAAAUCAGAUAGUACCUAGUUUAAUUGCACUUUAUCCAAAUGGCGAAAACCCAUUUAUACCGGCAGAUUCGAUACGGUUCCAACAGGAUGGCACCCCCCGCUACACUAUUCGCGAACAGUACGAGAUUACCUUACCAACAUUUUCCCAAAUAGAUGGAUUGGAAGGGGGGGUUUUAUUGAAUGGCCAGCAAGAUCGCCAGAUUUAACCCCAUUGGAUUUUUAUCUAUGGGGUUAUCUAAAAUCUAAAGUUUAUUUAGAUAAACUGAAAGUUUAGAAGAAUUAAAUAAUAGAAUUAUAGCCGAAAUACGACAAAUCCGGCCUCAAUCAAUAAGUAAAGUAUUACAAGAAUUUGAAUAUCGACUUGGUUACUGUCAGGAAGUUAAUGGUUAACGAUUUGAACAUUUUAAUUUUUUUUAUAAACUGUUCAAAAAUUCAUGGCUAUUUAUGAGAAAAAUAAUCGCAAAUUUCUUAAUAAAUAUUGAGGUUAGUUAUAGGACAUGGUAUACAAAAUAUACUUAAAAUUUUAUACAGAAUUAAAAAAUAAAAUAAGAAAUGGGUGUUUCUAUUUUAGAAAAUUAAGUGUA